CCUACGGGAGGCAGCAGUGAGGAAUAUUGGUCAAUGGACGCAAGUCUGAACCAGCCAUGCCGCGUGCAGGAUGACGGCUCUAUGAGUUGUAAACUGCUUUUGUACGAGGGUAAACCCCGAUACGUGUAUCGGGUUGAAAGUAUCGUACGAAUAAGGAUCGGCUAACUCCGUGCCAGCAGCCGCGGUAAUACGGAGGAUCCGAGCGUUAUCCGGAUUUAUUGGGUUUAAAGGGUGCGUAGGCGGUUUGAUAAGUUAGAGGUGAAAUGUCGGGGCUCAACCCCGGCGAGCCGUUGAAACUGGCGGGCUGGAGUUGGAGAGAAGUACGCGGAAUGCGCGGUGUAGCGGUGAAAUGCUUAGAUAUCGCGCAGAACCCCGAUUGCGAAGGCAGCGUACCGGCUCCACACUGACGCUGAGGCACGAAAGCGUGGGUAUCGAACAGGAUUAGAUACCCGGGUAGUC
RNAcentral lists this ribosomal RNA (459 nucleotides) under uncultured bacterium. RNAcentral describes it as "partial 16S ribosomal RNA". It matches the Rfam family "Bacterial small subunit ribosomal RNA", at positions 338 to 795 of the family's 1533-position model. The record is from RNAcentral.